RNAcentral lists this ribosomal RNA (253 nucleotides) under uncultured bacterium. RNAcentral describes it as "partial 16S ribosomal RNA". It matches the Rfam family "Bacterial small subunit ribosomal RNA", at positions 524 to 776 of the family's 1533-position model. The record is from RNAcentral.
UACGUAGGGUGCAAGCGUUAAUCGGAAUUACUGGGCGUAAAGCGUGCGCAGGCGGCUAUGCAAGACAGAUGUGAAAUCCCCGGGCUCAACCUGGGAAUGGCAUUUGUGACUGGAAGGCUAGAGUGUGUCAGAGGGGGGUAGAAUUCCACGUGUAGCAGUGAAAUGCGUAGAGAUGUGGAGGAAUACCGAUGGCGAAGGCAGCCCCCUGGGAUAACACUGACGCUCAUGCACGAAAGCGUGGGGAGCAAACAGG